UACGAAGGGGGCUAGCGUUGCUCGGAAUCACUGGGCGUAAAGCGCACGUAGGCGGACUCUUAAGUCGGUGGUGAAAUCCUGGAGCUCAACUCCAGAACUGCCUUCGAUACUGGGAGUCUCGAGUUCGGGAGAGGUGAGUGGAACUGCGAGUGUAGAGGUGAAAUUCGUAGAGAUCCGGAAGAACACCGGUGGCGAAGGCGGCCUGCUGGGCAGUAGCUGACACUGAGGCGCGACAGCGUGGGGAGCAAACAGG
This 253-nucleotide ribosomal RNA is filed under the name uncultured bacterium. RNAcentral's name for it is "partial 16S ribosomal RNA". It matches the Rfam family "Bacterial small subunit ribosomal RNA", at positions 524 to 776 of the family's 1533-position model. The record is from RNAcentral.